AACGCACCUUGCGCUCCUUGGUAUUCCGAGGAGCAUGCCUGUUUGAGUGUCAUUAAAUUCUCAACCUCACCAACUUUGGUUGUGUGAAGGCUUGGAUGUGGGGGUUGCAGGUCCGCUUUGGUGGUCUGCUCCUCUAAAAUGUAUUAGUGGGUUAGUCCCCUAAUCUAUUGGUGUGAUAAUUAUCUACGCCGUGGAUUGGGAUGGCUAUAUAGACUCGCUUCUAACCGUCCUUACGGACAACUUUGACAAAUUUGACCUCAAAUCAGGUAAGACUACCCGCUGAACUUAA
RNAcentral lists this unclassified non-coding RNA (289 nucleotides) under uncultured Coprinopsis. RNAcentral describes it as "sequence contains ITS2". The stretch from base 1 to 52 matches the Rfam family "5.8S ribosomal RNA", at positions 103 to 154 of the family's 154-position model. Lineage: Eukaryota; Fungi; Basidiomycota; Agaricomycetes; Agaricales; Psathyrellaceae. The record is from RNAcentral.